Molecule: ribosomal RNA, 484 nt
Filed under: uncultured bacterium
Lineage: Bacteria
Description: partial 16S ribosomal RNA
Rfam family: Bacterial small subunit ribosomal RNA
Source: RNAcentral
AUUGAACGCUGGUGGCAGGCCUAACACAUGCAAGUCGAGCGGAUGAAGGGAGCUUGCUCCUGGAUUCAGCGGCGGACGGGUGAGUAAUGCCUAGGAAUCUGCCUGGUAGUGGGGGAUAACGUCCGGAAACGGGCGCUAAUACCGCAUACGUCCUGAGGGAGAAAGUGGGGGAUCUUCGGACCUCACGCUAUCAGAUGAGCCUAGGUCGGAUUAGCUAGUUGGUGGGGUAAAGGCCUACCAAGGCGACGAUCCGUAACUGGUCUGAGAGGAUGAUCAGUCACACUGGAACUGAGACACGGUCCAGACUCCUACGGGAGGCAGCAGUGGGGAAUAUUGGACAAUGGGCGAAAGCCUGAUCCAGCCAUGCCGCGUGUGCGAAGAAGGUCUUCGGAUUGUAAAGCACUUUAAGUUGGGAGGAAGGGCAGUAAGUUAAUACCUUGCUGUUUUGACGUUACCAACAGAAUAAGCACCGGCUAACUUCGUG